Molecule: ribosomal RNA, 1236 nt
Filed under: Triticum aestivum (bread wheat)
Lineage: Eukaryota; Viridiplantae; Streptophyta; Magnoliopsida; Poales; Poaceae
Description: partial small subunit ribosomal RNA
Source: RNAcentral
AUGACAACUUGUGCCAAGCGCGGCUUUGCUCAGCCCAAGCGCCUUUUCACCCUGACCACUUCACCUACUAUCUCCCCCCUCCCAGCCACUUACAAAUCCGCCCUCAAAGACAAAAAAUGGCACGAUGCUAUGCUCGAUGAAUUUAAUGAUUUGAUAAAGAACAAAACUUGGUGUUUGGUUCCUCGGCCUGCAGGUGUCAAUGUGGUCACUAGCAAAUGGAUUUUUCGGCACAAGCUUGACGCUACUGGCUCCCUCGCUCGGUACAAGGCUCGUUGGGUGCUCCAGGGUUUCACGCAUCAAGAGGGUGUCGAUUAUAUGGAGACCUUCAGUCCCGUGGUCAAGCCAGCUACCGUCCGCGUUGUUCUCAGCAUUGCCACCGCUCAGUCCUGGCCGAUCCACCAGUUGGAUGUCAAAAAUGCCUUCUUACAUGGCGAUCUUGGUGAGACUGUUUAUUGUGCUCAACCGGCGGGUUUUGUUGAUCCUUCCUUUCCCAACCAUGUUUACCUCCUCAACAAGUCUCUAUACGGCUUGAAGCAGGCUCCUCGCACAUGGUUCUUGCGGUUCAAGUCUUAUCUCCUCUCCUUGGGUUUCGUAUCAUCCAAGUGUGACACCUCCUUGUUCAUUUUUCACCAUGGCAAUUCCGUUGGUUACCUUCUUCUCUACGUAGAUGACAUCAUCCUCACUGGCAACUCCUCCACUACGUUACACUCUGUCAUCUCCUUCCUCAAAGCAGAAUUUUCCAUGUCCGACCUUGGAGAUAUCCACCACUUCCUUGGUGUGAAUGUCACUCGCACCUCCUCUGGGCUCUUCCUUUCCCAGCAGCAAUACGUGCUUGAAAUCUUGGACUGCGCCAACAUGCUGAAUUGCAAACCUAUUUCCACCCCCGUCGACACCAAGUCCAAAGCAUCCGCUCAUGAUGGUGAUCUACUUGCCAAUCCUACCCACUACCGCAGCCUCGCCGGUGCUCUCCAGUAUCUCACCAUCACCAGGCCCGACAUUUCCUAUGCGGUUCAGCAAGCAUGCCUCUUCAUGCACGCUCCUCGCUCCUCCCACGUGCAGCUCGUGAAGCGCAUCCUCCGCUACCUCCAAAGCACAUCGCACUAUGGCCUCCGGUUCUAUCGCUCCUCCACUCGCGAUCUUGUGGCAUACUCCGAUGUUGAUUGGGCCGGCUGCCCUGACACCAGGAAGUCCACAUCUGGGUUUUGUGUGUUUCUCGGGCCCAAUCUGAUUUCAUGA